CUACGGGUGGCACCAGUAGGGAAUCUUAGACAAUGGGGGAAACCCUGAUCUAGCCAUGCCGCGUGAGUGAUGAAGGCCUUAGGGUUGUAAAGCUCUUUCGCUGGGGAAGAUAAUGACGGUACCCAGUAAAGAAACCCCGGCUAACUCCGUGCCAGCGAGCCGCGGUAAUACGGAGGGGGUUAGCGUUGUUCGGAAUUACUGGGCGUAAAGCGCACGUAGGCGGGCUAUUAAGUCAGGGGUGAAAUCCCGGGGCUCAACCCCGGAACUGCCUUUGAUACUGGUAGUCUUGAGUUCGAGAGAGGUGAGUGGAAUUCCGAGUGUAGAGGUGAAAUUCGUAGAUAUUCGGAGGAACAUCAGUGGCGAAGGCGACUCACUGGCUCGAUACUGACGCUGAGGUGCGAAAGUGUGGGGAGCAAACAGGAUUAGAUACCCUGGUAGUC
This 440-nucleotide ribosomal RNA is filed under the name uncultured bacterium. RNAcentral's name for it is "partial 16S ribosomal RNA". It matches the Rfam family "Bacterial small subunit ribosomal RNA", at positions 339 to 795 of the family's 1533-position model. The record is from RNAcentral.